RNAcentral lists this transfer RNA (67 nucleotides) under Sorineuchora bivitta. RNAcentral describes it as "tRNA-Tyr". Lineage: Eukaryota; Metazoa; Arthropoda; Insecta; Blattodea; Pseudophyllodromiidae. The record is from RNAcentral.
AGUGGAAUGGCCGAGAUUAAGGUGAUAAAUUGUAAAUUUAUUUAGGAGUUUAACCCCUCUUUCACUA